GCUAAUAUCUUGGGGCCUCAAACAGUAAAUCAAUAAGUGUUCCAUUUUAUGGUGUUUUAAUUGCCGUACAUUUUUACUUCCUUGCAGUCUAAGAUGAAGCGCAUUGGAAUUGAUACUGAAGCACUCAAAGAGCACUUUGGGAAGAAAAUUAUGGAUCUUGAGGAGGAAAAAAGAAAAGCGCAGAAAACAUAAGAAUGAAAACAAGGAAUCAAAAUACUGUUUACAGAAAUCUCAAGAUGUUCAUGGCCAAAAAUUGAAAGCACUGGAAGCGCAGAUUUUAGACCUCAAGAAGAAACAAGAAAACCAGGUGCAGCUACUAAAGCAAGAGGAGAAGGGCGAAGAAACUGCAAAAAAAUUGCAAGCUGAAAUACAGUACAUCAAGGCUCAAA
Molecule: long non-coding RNA, 389 nt
Organism: Arachis stenosperma
Lineage: Eukaryota; Viridiplantae; Streptophyta; Magnoliopsida; Fabales; Fabaceae
Exons: 3
Source: RefSeq, a predicted model, not a curated record